GAUGAAGAACGCAGCGAAAUGCGAUAAGUAAUGCGAAUUGCAGAAUUCAGUGAGUCAUUGAAUCUUUGAACGCACAUUGCGCCCUGUGGUAUUCCGCAGGGCAUGCCUGUUCGAGCGUCAUUUCAACCCUCAAGCCCCGCUUGGUGUUGGGCCCCGCCCGCCGUGGCCGGCCCUAAAGACAGUGGCGGCGCCGCCUGGCCCUCAGCGUAGUACAGCUCUCGCUCCAGGGUCCGGCGGCCGCCUGCCAGAACCCCCCCAACUCUGUGGUUGACCUCGGAUCAGGUAGGGAUACCCGCUGAACUUAAGCAUAUCAAUAAGCGGAGGA
RNAcentral lists this unclassified non-coding RNA (325 nucleotides) under soil metagenome. RNAcentral describes it as "partial contains 5.8S ribosomal RNA, internal transcribed spacer 2, and large subunit ribosomal RNA". The stretch from base 1 to 120 matches the Rfam family "5.8S ribosomal RNA", at positions 35 to 154 of the family's 154-position model. The record is from RNAcentral.